RNAcentral lists this ribosomal RNA (466 nucleotides) under uncultured bacterium. RNAcentral's name for it is "partial 16S ribosomal RNA". It matches the Rfam family "Bacterial small subunit ribosomal RNA", at positions 28 to 507 of the family's 1533-position model. The record is from RNAcentral.
GAUGAACGCUGGCGGCGUGCUUAACACAUGCAAGUCGAACGAUGAAGCCCAGCUUGCUGGGUGGAUUAGUGGCGAACGGGUGAGUAACACGUGAGUAACCUGCCCUUAACCCUGGGAUAAGCCUGGGAAACUGGGUCUAAUACCGGAUAGGAGCGUCCACCGCAUGGUGGGUGUUGGAAAGAUUUAUCGGUUUUGGAUGGACUCGCGGCCUAUCAGCUUGUUGGUGAGGUAAUGGCUCACCAAGGCGACGACGGGUAGCCGGCCUGAGAGGGUGACCGGCCACACUGGGACUGAGACACGGCCCAGACUCCUACGGGAGGCGGCAGUGGGGAAUAUUGCACAAUGGGCGCAAGCCUGAUGCAGCGACGCCGCGUGAGGGAUGACGGCCUUCGGGUUGUAAACCUCUUUCAGUAGGGGAGAAGCGAAAGUGACGGUACCUGCAGAAGAAGCACCGGCUAACUACGUG